GCUGAGGUGGCCCAACCCGGUAAGGCGCGAGCCUGGAGAGCUCGUGAGGGUAACCCCUCUUGGGAGUUCAAAUCUCCCCCUCAGCG
This 86-nucleotide transfer RNA is filed under the name Thermoplasmata archaeon. Its description in RNAcentral is "tRNA-Ser". It matches the Rfam family "tRNA". Rfam says of the family: Transfer RNA (tRNA) molecules are approximately 80 nucleotides in length. The record is from RNAcentral. Lineage: Archaea; Methanobacteriati; Thermoplasmatota; Thermoplasmata.